This 528-nucleotide ribosomal RNA is filed under the name uncultured Glomus. Its description in RNAcentral is "SSU rRNA". It matches the Rfam family "Eukaryotic small subunit ribosomal RNA", at positions 569 to 1092 of the family's 1831-position model. The record is from RNAcentral. Lineage: Eukaryota; Fungi; Glomeromycota; Glomeromycetes; Glomerales; Glomeraceae.
AGCAGCCGCGGUAAUUCCAGCUCCAAUAGCGUAUAUUAAAGUUGUUGCAGUUAAAAAGCUCGUAGUUGAAUUUCGGGAUUGGCACAUCGGUCGUGCCUUAAGGGGUAUGAACUGGUGUAGUCAAUUUCUCACCUUCUGGAGAACCGCGAUGUCCUUAAUUGGGUGCCGCGAGGAACCAGGACCUUUACUUUGAAAAAAUUAGAGUGUUUAAAGCAGGCAUUUUUGCUUGAAUACAUUAGCAUGGAAUAAUAAAAUAGGACGGCAUGAUUCUAUUUUGUUGGUUUCUAGGAUCACCGUAAUGAUUAAUAGGGAUAGUUGGGGGCAUUAGUAUUCAAUUGUCAGAGGUGAAAUUCUUGGAUUUAUUGAAGACUAACUACUGCGAAAGCAUUUGCCAAGGAUGUUUUCAUUAAUCAAGAACGAAAGUUAGGGAUCGAAGACGAUCAGAUACCGUCGUAGUCUUAACCAUAAACCUAUAGCCGACUAGGGAUCGGAUGAUGUUAAUUUUUAUGACUCAUUCGGCGCCUUAAC